GACGAACGCUGGCGGCGUGCUUAACACAUGCAAGUCGAACGGAAAGGCCUUUUCGGAGGUACUCGAGUGGCGAACGGGUGAGUAACACGUGGGUGAUCUGCCCUGCACUCUGGGAUAAGCCUGGGAAACUGGGUCUAAUACCGGAUAGGACCGCACUUUAGUGUGUGUGGUGGAAAGUUUUUUCGGUGUAGGAUGAGCCCGCGGCCUAUCAGCUUGUUGGUGGGGUAAUGGCCUACCAAGGCGGCGGCGGGUAGCCGGACUGAGAGGUUGGUCGGCCACAUUGGGACUGAGAUACGGCCCAGACUCCGACGGGAGGCAGCAGUGGGGAAUAUUGCACAAGGGGCGCAAGCCUGAUGCAGCGACGCCGCGGGGGGGAUGACGGCCUUCGGGUUGUAAACUCCUUUCGCCAGGGACGAAGCGUUUUGUGACGGUACCUGGAGAAGAAGCACCGGCUAACUACGUG
RNAcentral lists this ribosomal RNA (463 nucleotides) under uncultured bacterium. RNAcentral's name for it is "partial 16S ribosomal RNA". It matches the Rfam family "Bacterial small subunit ribosomal RNA", at positions 28 to 507 of the family's 1533-position model. The record is from RNAcentral.